This 952-nucleotide unclassified non-coding RNA is filed under the name uncultured marine bacterium. Its description in RNAcentral is "partial contains 16S ribosomal RNA, 16S-23S ribosomal RNA intergenic spacer, and 23S ribosomal RNA". The stretch from base 1 to 130 matches the Rfam family "Bacterial small subunit ribosomal RNA", at positions 1403 to 1533 of the family's 1533-position model. The record is from RNAcentral.
CAUGGGAGUUGGUUCUACCCGACGACGCUGUGCUAACCUUCGGGGGCAGGCGGCCACGGUAGGAUCAGCGACUGGGGUGAAGUCGUAACAAGGUAGCCCUAGGGGAACCUGGGGCUGGAUCACCUCCUUUCUAAGGAUGUUUCUAGCAACUUAAGCUUGCUUUUGUUCGUGAAACACUUAGCAGAUUGGCAAACAAAGCCGAUCAUAUAUCGAACCGGACUGUCCUCAUAUCUCUUCAGUAUACAUCAGACCUACCGGUCUGUACUGGGUCGGUAGCUCAGGUGGUUAGAGCGCACGCCUGAUAAGCGUGAGGCCGGAGGUUCAAGUCCUCCUCGACCCACCAUUAACGCGUCUAUUUUAGGAUAUGGCGUGUAGGGGGCCUUAGCUCAGAUGGGAGAGCGCCUGAUUUGCAUUCAGGAGGUCAGCGGUUCGAUCCCGCUAGGCUCCACCAUAUAACAAGUUUUGAUCAGAUCGCGAAGCACAAUGGUUUGUGUUUCGCCGUCCGAUUGGACGCAUUGACAUCGUUUAGAGAGAUACAAAUAUCAACAUUGUUUGAUCGCCCGAAGUAGCGGGAUGAUCUCAAUUUGGUGAAGCAAGUUUAGGCUUGUGGAGAGCUUUUGGAUCCACCCUUUUCCUCGGGUGCCCUUAAGUAUGCUGGGUUGAAACGAACAUGUUGUCCAAGUCAAGUACACUAACCCGAGCAGCAGUAAUGUUGCUCAACAGUUCAAACACACCGACAUGUGUUUGAGCGGGAAAGUAUGACUUUUGACCGGAAGAUGAGAUGCCUGGUGAACCAGCUUGGCAUCAUUCAGACGCAAGUCUGACUUUUUCUGGAUCAAAUCAAGCGCGAAAAGGGCGUUUGGUGGAUGCCUUGGCAGUAAGAGGCGAUGAAAGACGUGAUACUCUGCGAUAAGCCAUGGGGAGCUGAGAAUAAGCUUUGAUCCAUGGAUUU